AAACCCUAAUCUGAGAUUCACGGUAGAACAAGAAACUGAGAGACACACAAAGCGGCGAGCUUUGGAGCUAUCUGCGUGUCUCGUCGGUUACUUGUUUUAUCGUUGAAAACUCGAGCAGUUUUCGAUCUUCAUACGUCAGUUGCGGUGAAACAUAACUAGCUGUUUAUAGCAAUUCCAAAUCUUGUGUCUUUUAGGUGUUUGAUGAAAUGUUUUGUGGUGUUAUUUUAUCUUUUCUAGUCCAUCUUGGCAAAUCAGUUGAGCCCUCUUUUGGGCAAAUGAGCUGCUUUGAAUGCUAAUGGACUUACAGCUAAAUGCCUCUCCUGUUUUUAUUCAAGGUUACUCGAAGUUUAUUCGGGUAGCUAAUUAGUGGAGAUGAAAAUUUAAAUAGACUGAAUUAUUUUUUCUUCCCCUUUUUAUUUGGUGAUUUAAGUUUUGAUUAUAUAUUUGCAGAAGAAUUUAAUGGUGUUCUAUGAACUCGUGGGCGAUUUACGAGUCUUUUCUUGACAUACGGAUAUUAUGUCUGCUGAUUUUAUAUUUUGUACAGGUCUUAGUUUGAGUUUUGAAUUUUUGGUAUUUGCGUAUUGGCGAUGAUGAAAAAAAGGCCGGACUUACGGCUGCUACUAAACAGUUUGGUAGUAGAUUGAUGAUAUUUUUCCAAAAGGUGUUUUACUUUGGAGCCUAUAAUCUUGAUUUUUAAUUUUACAGUUUAUUUUUACGUUUCCUUUUUUUAAAUUGAAUAUAAUUCUUAAUUCAUGGUGUUGUUUGCUCAAGCUUUGAAAAUGUGAUUUUUGAGUUUUUUUGGGUUUAA
This is a non-coding RNA of Erythranthe guttata (spotted monkey flower), 808 nucleotides long. NCBI's taxonomy places the organism in Eukaryota, Viridiplantae, Streptophyta, Magnoliopsida, Lamiales, Phrymaceae. The record is from RefSeq and is a predicted model, not a curated record.